AUAACAAUCUAGAGGUUGUGAUGAUGAGGAGGAGGUGGACUAUAAUAGUAUGGAGGUGGAGGUGACUUUUUAGGGUAAAUUGGUGGUGGUGGAGAAGGGACCGGGUAGCGCGGUGGUGGAGGGGGUGACUUAUAGUAUGGUGAUGGAGGUGGUGGAUAUAGUUCCCAAAGGGGUGGGGGUGGGCGUGGCCGAUAAUAUGAAGGUGGCGGAUGUGAGUCCCUGUAGGGUGGUGGUGGGGGUGGUGGGGACUUAUAGUAAUGUGAAGGGGGCGGAGGAGGAGAGUAGUUCUUCGGAGGUGGUGGAGAAUAGGAGUUCUUGGGAGGUGGUGGUGGAGGAGGAUAGUAGUUCUUCGGAGGUGGUGGAGAAUAGGAGUUCUUGGGAGGUGGUGGUGGAGGAGGAUAGUAGUUCUUCGGAGGUGGUGGAGAAUAAGAGUUCUUGGGAGGUGGUGGUGGAGGAGGAGAGUAGUUCUUCGGAGGUGGUGGAGAAUAGGAGUUCUUGGGAGGUGGUGGUGGAGGAGGAGAAUAGUUCUUCGGAGGUGGUGGAGAAAAGGAGUUCUUGGGAGGUGGUGGUGGGGGAGGAGAGUAGUUCUUCGAAGGUGGUGGAGAAUAGGAGUUUUUGGGAGGUGGUGGAGAAUAAGAGUUCUUGGGAGGUGGUGGUGGAGGAGAAUAGUCCUUGGGUGAGAAUGGGGGUGGUGGUGACUUAUAGUAUGGGGUAGGGGGUGGUGGUGGGGGUGAAGGUGAGUUAUAAUAUGGUAGUGGUGAUGGAGGAGAAGAGUCCUUGGGUGGGGGUAGGGGUGUUGGCAAGUUAUAGUAUGGUGAAGGUGUUGGUGAGUUAUAGUAUGGUGAAGGAGCUGGUGGUGAGUUAUAGUAUGGUGAAGGGGAUGGUGGUGAGUUAUAAUAUGGUGAAGAGGCUGGUGGUGAGCUAUAGUAUGGUGAAAGGGUUGGUGGUGAGUUAUAAUAUGGUGGUGUGGGUGAGGGUGAGUUAUAGUAGGGUGAUGGGAGUGGGGGUGAGUUAUAGUAGGGUGGCGGAGGUGAGUUAUAGUAUGGUGGUGGGN
Molecule: long non-coding RNA, 1054 nt
Filed under: Vigna radiata
Lineage: Eukaryota; Viridiplantae; Streptophyta; Magnoliopsida; Fabales; Fabaceae
Description: long non-coding RNA (VRAD_LNC000909)
Source: RNAcentral